GCCUGGCUAGCUCAAUCGGUAGAGCGUGAGACUCUUAUUACGUAAUAAUUAUCUCAAGGUUGCGGGUUCGACCCCCGCGUUAGGCU
Molecule: transfer RNA, 86 nt
Filed under: Tulasnella sp. 417
Lineage: Eukaryota; Fungi; Basidiomycota; Agaricomycetes; Cantharellales; Tulasnellaceae
Description: tRNA-Lys
Rfam family: tRNA
About the family: Transfer RNA (tRNA) molecules are approximately 80 nucleotides in length. Their secondary structure includes four short double-helical elements and three loops (D, anti-codon, and T loops).
Source: RNAcentral